GGUCACUCCAACCUGUGGCAAAAAUUUUCCCUAGGAUUCAAAUUAGAAAUAAGUCAAUGAGUUAACUAAAGUGAGACUGAACCAAUACAUGUGCAAGAAGUAGCUCUGAAAUUAACAAUAUAGAACAUAUAUUAAAGUCCUGAUUUAUCACAAUUAGUAAGGGAUGAUAGCAACUGGGAUCCAACCACUUUAUCAAACCUAUAUUGAUAUCCCUGAAAAUAGAGGCAACUAUUCAAAAGAAGUAAAUUGUAGCUCAGUCCAACAUUUUUAUUUACCUCACUUUCAUUUGCCAAUUUAGUAACUGGAGAUAAACCAAAUUGAUGGGUUAAGAUGACUUUGUUCUGAUUAAUUUUAUGGUAAUUCUGAGGGCUUCCAUUUUAAAUUAAUUGUUUGAAUACUAAAUUAUGCAGCUUUAUGAUCCAGGAGAUAAGCAGCAGCUCUAAAGAUGCCUCUGAGACUUAAAAGAGACAGCAUUAGAAGCUCAUUAUUGCCGGCACAUUUAACAUGGUUAAAGCAGGGGA
This 521-nucleotide long non-coding RNA is filed under the name Homo sapiens (human). RNAcentral describes it as "HSALNT0069265". The record is from RNAcentral. Lineage: Eukaryota; Metazoa; Chordata; Mammalia; Primates; Hominidae.